This is a long non-coding RNA of Rattus norvegicus (Norway rat), 7016 nucleotides long. RefSeq lists it as uncharacterized. The record is from RefSeq and is a predicted model, not a curated record. NCBI's taxonomy places the organism in Eukaryota, Metazoa, Chordata, Mammalia, Rodentia, Muridae.
CCUGACAAAGGAGCCAUUGCCUUGGGAAUAGCAGGUGUGGCCACCAUACUCAGGAUGGCUCCUUUGUCCCCUCCACCAUCUCCAAAUCCCUCUUUCUAGAGAAGAGUUACUCUUAAAAGCUUUCUCUGGUACCCAAUAUCAUUACCUCUAGUGUCCUUUCUUUCAGAAUCCUCCCGUCUGACUACAUCCUUCCCAAGAUCUUUUCCAUGUGACUUAGACAAGAAUUAAGCUGGAUCUGAAUCCAUUUCAAAGCUGCAUAGGCACAUCCCCAAAGAUGUCCCUCGAAGGGCGGUGAGGAACUGUAAAAAGGACAGCCCAACCUCCUCCACACACACUAGUAUGAACUAACAGAAGGAGACGGAAGGGGGAGAAGCCGGUUUGAGGUGAACGAAAAAACGACCAUAUUAACUGUGGAAAGUGUCAAGGGGAAUGGGGGAAGGGGUGACCAUGAAUUUAAGCCAUCCACCUGUGCUUCUGAAUCACAAGCUGACUGGAUAGCAGAAGGACUACCCAGACACCCUGCGGUCCUGCCAAGCAGGCUGACAGGCUGACAGGCUGACAGGCUGACAGGCUGACUUCCGCCACAGCACUGCACCACCACUUCACCAGGCGAGCACAGCCAGACAUCGGCGUGGACACAGCAUGGGUGGCACAGAGAUUUCCAGGCCUGCUCCGUGCCCUGUCUCAUGGGGUGUGAUAUGAGACUGGAACAAGUUGUCUCUGUGGCGGGCAGCCAAGGAGCAUUUGCCUCUCACACUGCACCCAGCGCGAGGAGCACGUGGAACGACCAUGACCUGGAGGGUGUUCCCUUGCUCCAGUAGCACCUGGUGUGGGGAAGAGGGGAGGAGUCGUCCUCUUUGAAUCAACCUGGGGCGGGGCCAAUCUGCGGGUUUGCUACUCCUCUAGGUGGCUUGUACUGGAUUCCAAGGAGGAAGGUUAAAGCUGUCACUCCAGAGAGUGUGAAGGCUAAAAUAAUUCAGACGCGUAAUACAAGAUCAUCAUGUUCUGCAGUGUCCUAGUGAUUUACGUAAAGGACUACUGUGCCGUCUAUUUGCCAACCACUACGUCUCAUCCCUUGCUACCUGAGCAGAGUGACCUGGGGAAGCAGAUGAAACAAUAGGUCAUUGGCCUUAACGACUUGCUGACUGCUGUGUACAUUUCUGUAAAAUCUUCCUUGUUUGUUCACACCACCAUCCCCCCCCAGAAGGUUUAGAGUACAAACCUUCAGAGAAUACAAAGUGAACCUGGGACCGGGGCCCUUCAGGAACCAUCCUGGUUCUGAUCGCCUUGUGACACCUCGGUUCCACUCAUACUGGUGUAAGGGCGCUUCCUCAGGAAACUUCCCACAAUGAAAGUACGUCCCUGGAAGUGGGCUCCGAGAGUGAAAGGCCGCACCGCACUCACAGUUCACCAUCUCUGCUUCGUGCCCGUGGCUCAAGGCGAGAGCUCCAGCGGAUAGACUUGCCAACCUGACGUGCCAUCCCGACCAUCGUACCCCUCUGGAACCCUAAGUAAAAAUGUUAACUCUUUCUUCUUUAAGUUGGGCAGGGCAUUUUGUCACGGCAACCAGAAAAGUAACCAGUACCUAGCUCGAAUGGCAAGCUUGUAUUACCAGCAUCUUUCCACAAAUCUGUAUCUAACUCCCAUCUAUUAAGGAGCUGUGGAAAGCCCGUACUACUAGACAUAGUCAAGACUACAUGCAAGCACAGCCAGGAGUGACCGACAACGUGUCCUACCCGGACUCUUGUUCGCAUGCAUACUCUAUUGAUCCAUUGAAAUUUGCCGAUGCUAUUGCUUCCUGAUACAAGAAGCUGGGUCCUGAAACUCACCCUGUAGAUCGGGCUGGUCUCAAACAGAGGUCUGCCUUCCUCUGCCACCGGAGUGCUGGGAUUAAAGGUGUGUGCCACCACCACCCCCCCGGCUGGACUUUCUUUACGCAAAUUCAAAUAUAUUUUCAAGAUGCCAACAGCAGAGCAUAAAACAAAUGCCAAAUCCUUCUGAAUGUGGAUCCCUGGGUGAUUGCACCAUAAGGCAAGGGUAAGCAACUGCUUCCUGAGGCUCACUCCAAGGGAGAAAAUAAAUGCUCCUUUUCUCUAGAAAAUGCAAGCACGGACAUCUGCCUUCAUGGACUCAUGAGUACUAAGCGCAUUAAGACAUUAUAAGUUGUUAGUUAUGAUAUAGAUUUAGGUAAAGUAGAAGAAACAAGAGCAUCGGAAGAUAAAACAAGGCCCUUCAAGUAACUGACGCCAUUGUAAUGAAUGGAGGACACCUAAAGACAGUCUUGUUGACCUCAAGGAACUCACACACAUAACAGAGUGAUGAGCUGUCACAUAACUUGUUGUAAGUGGUGUAAGUCAGGUAGGCCAGAGGCUGUAAAGAGACUGCAUUUGAUACCUCCUCUGAGGGACAGACACAGCCAUUAUUACAUAGCGGGCAGGCCCUACUGGGGAAAUGUUGUGACCUUCUCUACCCUCUAGGGGGCGCUCAAGGUCUUCUCUGCUGAUAUCUUGAAGGAACUUGUCUUUCCAGAGAGAAGGCCCCUUAGAAUUAGCUUAAGGCUCUGGUGUCUGCUGGAAUCUCUUCUUUCAGGUGUUUGCUUUUGAGCUGCUCACCAUUCGGUUCCCAUGGUGCUGGCGCAUGCAGGUGGCACAUGCUGCUGCUAGUCUGGCUUUCCCCACUCCUUGGAAAAGCUGUCGUUCCACUUAGAAGACUAAGCAAGAACCAGAGGACAGCCUCUUGUGCAGAAAAAGACUCAUCUAGGAAAGGUUUUGAGCUUAAGACAGAUCAUAAGAUGGUUUAGGGUGAGGUUUGUUUAGGUUUGUCUUUCGGUUUGUUUGGUUGGUUGGUUGGUUUGGUUUUUGUAACUUGUUUUGUUGUUUGUUUGUUUGUUUGUUUUCUGCAUUCUAAAUGAUGAUGUUUGCCAAGGUACUGAGAGGAAAUGGCAGGAUGGAGUUCAGAAGUUUGAAACUCAAACAUAUCCAGCACUCCAUGGCCAAGAGUUGGUUCUAGAUCUUGCUUUCACUAAUGUUUCAUGACUAUACCCUGGAUUUGAAGUUGCAAAACUCUCCUGAUUCUUGAGGAAAAAAUGCAUGAGGAUGUUCUAAAAUUUCUCUUAUUCACAAAAGCAACUACAUUUCAUUGGAAGAUAUUUCUCUGAUUUCUAAAUUAAACCCCAUUUUCAUCUCUUGCAUCUUUUUUAUUGUAUUUGUAAACCUGUGCUUGAGCAGUCUAGGACAGAAGGAGUCCUAGGGUAGUUUCUGGCUAUCUUGCCAGAAAGCUAAGGAGUUUUGUAUUGUUGUAUCCUCCUUCCCCCAAAGAGAUUCAUGCCCUAAGUUUGAUUUAAAUGUAGUUUUCCCUUGUCAAUUCAAGAAUCAAACUGUCUAGGGAUGGCGUGAAGAGAGCCAGUUCCAAAGGAAGCAGUGGCUAGGAAAUGUACUUGUUUAACAAGGAAUUCCAACUGGUUCCUUGCUGUAUCAGUAGAAGUAGCUGAGCCUAUGCCUCUAUGCCUUUUGUUUUUGUUUAUAUUUUGUUUGCUGGAGAAGCUGAUUAUGUUAGAUGUCAGUGUUCUGAAACAAUUCAGUCACUGUACAUGAGAAAUGACUUCAAGGUGCUGGGAGACUGAAGAGGAGACAGAUCCAGCUUUACAUAGAGUGCAAUUAAUUUACUGAGAAGUGUGAUUUUACACUCAGAGGUGUGAUUUGGGGGAGCAGAAAAAUCUGGUAAAGUUCGAGCAGUUUGGAUCAGAAAGAGGCAUUUAUUUGUUAGGACAAAGGUAACUUCAUCCGACCCAUAAUGUAACUGGCUUACAUUAGCUAAUACCAGUGAGUCAGGAACAUUCCUGGUGCUUGUCUAUAUAUAAUGCUAAAAGAAUAGGAUAGAUGAUAGCGAUAGAUAGAUAGAUGAUAGAUAGAUAGAUAGAUAGAUAGAUAGAUAGAUAGAUAGAUAGAUGAUGGAUAGAUAGAUGAUGGAUAGAUAGACAGACAGAUAGAUAGAUAGAUAGACAGACAGACAGACAGACAGACAGAUAGAUAGAUAGAUAGAUAAUGGAUGGAUAGAUAGAUAGAUAGAUGAUGGAUAGAUAGAUAGUAGAUUAUGGUGACAAUUUUAGAGUUUUGGUUUCUUUAAAAACAUAGAAAUAUUAUAAAAAUGUUUGUGUUUUAAUCUCAGGUGAGGGAUAUGGGCCUGCUUCAGAUUAAUCACAGCAGCUAACUAUGAUUUGCCUCAUGCUGUAACAAGGGUGUGAUUUUACUAGUGGCAAAUAGUUCCUGGAAUUUGGAAUUUGAAGGGCUUUUCAGAGAUUAUAUAAAUGCUGGGGCCCUGGGGUGGCAUGUUACUGUUGGGUUGGUUGUUGGUUGCUAUUGAUCUCCAUGGUUUUUUAAGUAGCCAUGCACAAAGAAGAAAGAAGAAGAAAUUAGAUAUUGAUGGCUAAGAUCAAACUUGCCCCAAGCAACUCGACACUCCUAACCAGCAGGAAGUAGUCUAAUGACAAUACCGCCCCCUUUCCUUUCUAUCCUUUUUCCCCCUCUCCUAUCUCGUGUUAGAGGGUUGAAAGGGUAGAAAGGGGGUGGGGAAAGGAGGAAGAAAGAAGAACCUACAAAGUGGCAAAGAUGGCCUACAAUGGUUUUCUGGGAAAUUAUGUAGGGAAAAGCUGACUGGUUAUACAGGCAAGGUGGUAUUGUGAUUCUCUAUGGCUCUAGUCAUGUAAGGCUAAAUCCAUACAACUGGCCACAAGGCAGUGCCUUGGACAUUUGCCAAGCAGACUAUCAGAAAGUAAUAUUGAAAGAACUUGCUUUGUAUGAGGUGUUGUAUGAGGUAAAUUGUCCCAGAGCAAAUGGUGGAGAUCUGGCUAUGUUCCUAGACCCCCUCUUUCUCCAUUCUCAUCUCGACCCCUAUGCAAAUGGCUUGACUAUGCUGAAGUCCAGGCCUCUUGCUGUUUUUGCAAUCAAUUCUUUUGCAAGCAGUAUCUUCUGGAAAUUCCCAUGACCCUACACAACAAGCAAUUGUUCUCUGACCUUGAUUCUAGCACAAAUGCAGUUUUCUUUCUACUUUUAUAUUCUAUGGUUGUGACUGAAGAAAUCUUGGUGUUUGUAUAGAAGAGGCUACAUGAUUAUGUUGAUCUCAAUUUUGCCCAGACAUUUCCUUCACAUCUCUUUCUGAGGCUCACUCGGGGUUCAGAACACUUUUGCCUUCCUGAAACAUUUCUGUCCCACUUAGAAUAUAAUACCAACUCCAUAAGGGGCCUAAAAGAGCUUGCUGUGCCUACUCCUGAUGACUCUCCCUUCACUCUGACCUUAUUCUCCUUAAAUACACCAGAUAGGAUAUACCUCAGGACCUCAUAGCAGUUGCUGGUCUCCCUGUCUGGGAUCUUAUACUUCAUAUUUUCACAUGGUUCACACACCUAUCUCAUCCACACCCUGUACAACUGUUACUCCAGAGAUGCCCACUUAAUUCAGUAUCAGAAACAACCGACAAGCUAUCCAUACCUCUUAGGAGAUUUGCCCUACUUUAAUAGCAUUCCAUGCUAUCUAAGCUCGAUUGUCCUGCCCGUCUCAUAGAAUGAUGCUCUUCCUGGUGGAAAAGCUGGGGCCAGAACUUAAUGUGAUCUAAUGCUGCCAACUCCCCUUUGCCUGCCUGAUAGAGGUAUGUUCUUUGAUGUGAGAAAGGGCUUGACUGGUCAGAAGUGGUCCAGGGAUGUCUCCUUCUCUUAUAGGAAGAGGGCUAAUUGGUGGCCUUAGCAUUUUCCCAACAACCUAAAACUUUUAUUAGAGAUGUACAUUUCCUGUUCUUUCUGACAAGUCUGGUCAGUAGCUACUCAUUCUUGAGUGGCCCUUUAUUGUCUAAAUUCUACUUUGCGUACCUUGGUAUUUCCUAAGCAACUUUAGCUGAUCUGUUGUAACAUCUGUCUUCUGUUCUGACUUCCUUUUAUAUCAAUAGGAAUGCUGAAGAUGUAAGGGAUCCUGAGCACAUCAACUGGGUUGAGACUGCCACUCACUCAGGACCAGGCUUAUAUUGUUGCUUCCUGGAAAGUACUUGUAACUGGCUGAGAACAUCACUUGGGAACCUCGAACCUAUAAAAGCUGGGGUCCUUCACCCUUCUUCCCCUAAUCCCAAAACUCCUUACUACACGGAGUGUGCUAAAACACACCUUUGAACAUAUUUUUAAUUGGAAUGUAACUUGUGAAGGAUGUACUCUUGACACACUUCUGAUUCUUUUGUCCCUAUGUUAAGCUGUUAAAAGCUAGGAACAGGGUAAGACUUUUAUAAUUGAAAGCAACUUCAAAGCUGGGUGGUGGCAGUGGCUCACACCUUUAAUUUCAACACUUGGGAGGCAGAGGCAGGGGGAGCUCUGGGAGUUCAAGGCCAGCCUGGUCUACAGAGCAAGUUCCAGCCAUGGCUACAAAGAAAAACCCUGUCUCAAACAAACAAAACAAGCAGGUAAUUUCAAUUAAACAGUUAUAUAUUGACAAAAUUAAUCAAUAGAUUCCUGCAGCCAUAAAAUGUGAUUGAUAGUGUGUAUCACCAAUCAGUUACCUGACUGGGUUUUAAAACCUUUCCUCUUCCCUCCUCCUUUUCCCUAAAUCUGUUCUUUCACAAAAAAAAAAUCACUAGAGAAGGUAUGAACCAACCAAUGGGUAUGAUCACGGUGUCUUCUUGACCGUUUAAGAAGGCUUCCAGAGAUGACUUGAAAUUUUAUGAAAAAGAUGCCAAGCUGAGCUUUUCACUUUUGCUGAUUCAAAACCCACUACACUGAAGCCCUUAUGGAAAUCGGGAUUGAAAACCAGAGCGUCCUCGUCAGGUGCCCAGGUGUAAGCAGUGCUGACUUGGCAAUCAGGUGGCAAAGCAUCUCACAUUCCCUAAACCUUUAGAGUAGCUAUUCAGCAGGCCAAGCAGGCAUCCGAAUCUGUUCCCUUCCAAGUGGAAGACCUCUUGCAAGUGGCCUUCUGGCAGUUAAGCAAGGCUGGGUGUUUAGUUCUGGCCACUUACAGUCUGAAAUAAAGAUCUGUUUAUCUCUUUUA